RNAcentral lists this transfer RNA (69 nucleotides) under Acanthaster brevispinus. RNAcentral's name for it is "tRNA-Ala". It matches the Rfam family "tRNA". From Rfam's summary of the family: Transfer RNA (tRNA) molecules are approximately 80 nucleotides in length. Their secondary structure includes four short double-helical elements and three loops (D, anti-codon, and T loops). Further hydrogen bonds mediate the characteristic L-shaped molecular structure. tRNAs have two regions of fundamental functional importance: the anti-codon, which is responsible for specific mRNA codon recognition, and the 3' end, to which the tRNAs corresponding amino acid is attached (by aminoacyl-tRNA synthetases). tRNAs cope with the degeneracy of the genetic code in two manners: having more than one tRNA (with a specific anti-codon) for a particular amino acid; and 'wobble' base-pairing, i.e. permitting non-standard base-pairing at the 3rd anti-codon position. The record is from RNAcentral. Lineage: Eukaryota; Metazoa; Echinodermata; Asteroidea; Valvatida; Acanthasteridae.
GUGAAUUUAGUUUAAUAAAAACAUUUGACUUGCACUUAAAAACUCUAAGUUUAAACCUUAGAAUUCACA